UACAUUUAAGCUUCCAAAAUGAAUACAUAAUCAUAUCACAUAUAUAUAAUGCUAGCUAUCCAAAAUACAUCAUGUCAUCUAUAACCAUGCACACGAGGGUGCUCUAGUACAAUAGGAAAGCUCUACUAGCUAGCUAGGGCGCUAUGCCCUUACCGCGAUCUCCUGCCGGUCCGCUCACGUGUGUACCUGUACCCCAAAACCACACGGGGUGAGAACUAUAAAAAAUAUAGUUCCCAGUGGGUUCGGCCGCCGACUCCGCCGAUCUUCCCACUAGGUCUAAGCUGGCACAGAUAGAUAGAUAGAGAGAUAGAUAGAUAUUGAACUGCAACUAUGAUCUAUUGUGCCAUCAAAUGCAAGCAAUGCAUGAAAUAUCAACUAGCAAUAAGCCUACUAUCAUGAUAAUAUGCUUCAACGAUGUAAUGAAUACAAAUACGACAUAGUUAUGCAAUCCACUAACAUAUACUAUGUCUAAUCAGGGUAUGAAUGCAAAUCCACUUAUGCUAUUCAUGUCAUUACCCAAUCCACUAGGCUACCCCGCCCUUGUCUCAAAUCAUGUAGGUGAAGGACUACCCCGCCCUUGUUUCACCCGUCCCACAACUCUAACACUAUAGGUAAAGAGCUACCCCGCUCCUCGCCCAACUCAUAACUCAAAUGCCUAAGGGCAUGAGCUACCCCGCUCUUCGCUCCGACCCAAACUCAAACUCAUAGGUCAAGAGCUACCCCGCUCAUAGGUCAAGAGCUACCCCGCUCGUAGGUAAAGAGCUACCCCGCUCAAAGGUCAAGAGCUACCCCGCUCGUAGGUAAAGAGCUACCCCGCUCAUAGGUAAAGAGCUACCCCGCUCAAAGGUCAAGAGCUACCCCGCUCGUAGGUAAAGAGCUACCCCGCUCAAAUCUCACAGGAGAAGAGCUACCCCGCCCUUCGCCCGACUCACUUCCCAGUCCAAUGGGUGGGGAGCUACCCCGCUCGUAUCCCACCCAAUGAGCUACCCCGCUCAUGUGACAACUGAGGAUACCCUGUCAACUAGGUUAACCAUCACUUGAUAUUCCACCUAUCCCUAGGUCCAUGUCAAGUGUUUCAACCAUAUCAAAUCUCAAUGCCACUCACCUAGGUCUAAGCAACUCUAGGUUCCACAACACUAGGUUUAGAUGCCACAUAAUCUCCAUAAUUAACAAUAGGUUAACCUUCAUUUCAUCUAGCAUAUAUGUUCUAUAAGGCCAACAUGCAUCAUAAUGCUAAUAUGCCAUAAUCAACUAGCAUGCAAUCCAUUCAUAAUGCUACGUGCAUACAAUCUCCAUUACACUAGUUCACAUGUCACUAGUUUCAUUGUCAAGUCCAAGUUCUUUAUUCUCUUAUCAUCAUAGGAUCUCAUGUCUCAACCUUAAUCAUCAUGCAUUCUAGAUUUAAGUGUCAAGUCUAUAAUACUACACAACUAGACAUGCAUUCAAGGAAAGUAGAAAUGUAACUAUACAUAUAUCCUAUAAUGCAUAAGAACCAUAUAUAUGAAAUAUGAUCAACUAUUUUACUCGGACAUAGAAGGAAGCCCGAUUGCUUCGGAUAGACACCCCCCACCUUUUAUCGCGUUCCGAUUGCUCGUCGUCACUCGCAAUCGGCCUCCCGCGGCACACGCCGCUCGGCUUGACCCAAUCCGCGCGCGACCGCCAAACGACCUCCGAUCCGCGAUCCGAAAAUUAAAGGUCUUCGGUUUUCUAUUACGAUGCUUCAAAUCCGUUUCCAGGACUUUACGACGUCGCCUCGGCCCUCUAGGCGGAAACGAAGCCUAAACGCCCGUUUCUUUAAUAACUUUGUACCGGCUCAACGAAUCGCCGAACCGUCGCUUCCAACGCAUUCAGUGACCUAGCAAUUAGGUUUACGGAGGGUCAAAUUAGAUCAUACCCUCAUAUUUUCAAAAUUAGCAUUUUUGAGCCCUAACAUGCAAUUACCCCCAAAUAAUCCAAAUUAAAUGGAGCAAUAUGCUAAUAAUGAUCAUUAGAGGCUACUAGAACCCUUAAAGCUAAGGAUUAAGCCAAAUCCCAAAAGCUUACCCCANN
This 2049-nucleotide long non-coding RNA is filed under the name Ananas comosus (pineapple). RNAcentral describes it as "long non-coding RNA (ACOM_LNC041914)". The record is from RNAcentral. Lineage: Eukaryota; Viridiplantae; Streptophyta; Magnoliopsida; Poales; Bromeliaceae.